Molecule: RNA transcript, 5549 nt
Organism: Poeciliopsis prolifica (blackstripe livebearer)
Lineage: Eukaryota; Metazoa; Chordata; Actinopteri; Cyprinodontiformes; Poeciliidae
Gene: mark3a
Gene name: MAP/microtubule affinity-regulating kinase 3a
Exons: 18
Source: RefSeq, a predicted model, not a curated record
CCUAAAACAGACAGACCCGCUUCACUUUGGGCCGCUGGAGAUGGGAGAAACCGAGCCUAUGGCGAGCGUUUCAGUCAACCGGACUUUUUAAAACCAUCUACCAAACGCCAACCUUUACCACCGAAGGUCAUGUUGUUUUUUUAAAGCGAGUCAUUUCUGGGGGGGAAGGAAGAGGACUGUGGUGAUUUUUGGAAGUGACGACCGACUGCGCCUUCACGUUAGUUUAGUUAGCUUCACUGACUGAAAGCCGAACGGACAAACGGACUCCGGCCAGCCCGUCGAGUCAAACAAAGGUUACAGCAGGAACAUGUUAUCUCCGCAGCUUAAACACUAAAUACAAGUUGAUUGUCAAUUUUAUUUUAGUCUUUUUGUACGCUCCGGAAUAUCUCAGGUGCUUGGCUCUAACACGUCCGGUCUGGGCUGAAAAUUGUCACGAUCCAUGCUCAGCCUGUUUUUCCACAGAGAGCUGCAAAGCAAAGCAAUAAUAACCAGACUUCUUGGCUGCUGGAUUUAAAGCUGAGGAUUAUUUCUUUUUUUUUCACCUCAAACGGCUCCUGGUUAAGGAAGACCUAAUAAAUGAUGUCAACAAAAACUCCUUUACCGACGGUCAACGAGAAGGUGACGGAAAGUCACACAUCUCACAGCAACGGGCGCCAGGAGCUCGGCACACGCUCAGGUCGGACCGGCAUGCGAUCCCGCAGCUCGGACGAGUCGCAGCAACCCCAUGUGGGGAACUAUCGGCUGCUCAAGACCAUCGGCAAAGGCAACUUCGCCAAAGUUAAACUUGCCCGGCACAUCCUCACUGGCAGAGAGGUGGCAAUUAAGAUAAUAGACAAGACACAGCUGAACCCAAACAGCCUUCAGAAGCUUUUCAGAGAAGUCAGAAUAAUGAAGAUCUUAAAUCAUCCCAAUAUUGUCAAGCUGUUUGAGGUGAUUGAGACAGAGAGGACCCUCUACCUUGUCAUGGAGUACGCCAGUGGAGGUGAGGUGUUCGACUACCUGGUUGCACACGGAAGAAUGAAGGAAAAGGAGGCCAGGGCUAAAUUUAGACAGAUCGUAUCGGCGGUGCAGUACUGCCACCAGAAGCACAUUGUUCACAGAGACCUCAAGGCGGAGAACUUGUUACUAGAUGCAGACAUGAACAUAAAGAUUGCCGAUUUCGGCUUCAGCAACGAGUUCACUUUAGGCAACAAGCUGGAUACGUUCUGCGGCUCUCCGCCGUACGCGGCCCCGGAGCUUUUUCAGGGGAAGAAGUACGAUGGGCCGGAGGUAGACGUCUGGAGUCUGGGGGUCAUCCUGUACACGCUGGUCAGUGGCUCCCUGCCCUUUGAUGGACAGAAUCUAAAGGAGUUGCGUGAACGUGUUCUAAGAGGAAAGUACCGUAUUCCUUUCUAUAUGUCCACGGACUGCGAGAACCUCCUGAAACGCUUCCUGGUCCUGAACCCGACCAAGCGUGGUACUCUCGAGGUGAGGGAGGACACCGAAAAUCAAAUCAUGAAGGAUCGGUGGAUCAAUUCGGGAUUCGAGGAGGACGAGCUAAAGCCUUAUACCGAACCAGAACUGGACAUCACGGAUCAGAAGAGAAUAGAUGUGAUGGUGGGUAUGGGCUACAACCUGGAGGAGAUCCAGGACUCCCUGGCCAAGAUGAAGUAUGAUGAGAUCACGGCCACCUACUUGUUGCUGGGCAGGAAAGCCUCUGAGCUGGAACCUAGCGACUCUGCCUCCAGCAGCAAUCUGUCCCUGGCCAAACCCAGACCAAACAGUGAGCUCAACGGCCAGUCGCCAUCCCACCUCAAAGUGCAUAGGAGCGUCUCCUCCAACCACAAACAAAGGCGUUACAGUGAGCAAGCUGGUCAGAACGUUCCUCCAGGGAUGGCUCAUCCAAAGAGAAGCCAGACCACCACAGCAGAUAACGCUGUGAAGGACGAAAGUGGAGCUCAGCUCCGGAAACCCGGCAGCCGAGGCGGUCCGCCUUCCAGCCCCCUGCUGGGCAACGCCAACAACCCCAACAAGGCUGACAUUCCUGAGCGGAAAAAAGGAGCCACCACCAGCGCAAGCAAUAACUCUGCUUCAGCAGGCAUGACCAGGAGAAACACGUAUGUCUGCAGCGACAGGAACAACACGGACCGCCUCUCCGUCAUCCCCAACGGGAAGGAGAACAGCAUGACUGAGAUGGCUUGUGCCACUAGCCCCUCUUCUUCUUCUUCUGCCUUUGCUGCCGUCGUUUUCGGCGCCUCGUCCACUUCGGUACAGCAGAGGUAUCAAACCGUCAGCCCUCUGUAUGCUUGUCAGGCAGACUGGGCCACCCUGCCCCACUCCUACUACGCUCUGGACAGCUGCUCGGCCAAUGUUGCCGUGUCGCCCGGUGGCCAGAGGAACCCAGUGGCAUCCACCCACAGCAUCAGCAACGCCACCACGCCCGAUCGUCUCCGCUUCCCCCGCGGCACGGCCAGCCGCAGCACCUUCCACGGCGGCCAGCUGAGAGACCGCCGCACCGCCACGUACAACGGCCCACCGGCGUCCCCCACCCUGUCCCACGACGCCACGCCGCUGUCCCAAACCCGCAGCCGCGGAACCAGCAACCUGUUUUCUAAGCUCACGUCCAAACUCACCCGCAGGGUCAGUAUUGACCCGGCCAAACGGCAGAUAGCCAAAACAGGGCCUGCCAACCCUUCUACCCAGGGAGGAAAGACCCUUAGUAAGUCUUCUGCCCUUUGCUUUCUUUCUCUCCUCAAUUUGUUUCUCUCUUUAUGUCCUCCUUCCUUUUUUAUCAUCCUGCCAUGCUUUCUUUCCCUCCUCUUGUAUUUUUUUGCCCCGUCCUCAUGCCAUUCAUUUGAAUAUUCUUUCCUUCGUUUUUUUUUUUUUUUUUGCCGUUUUGAGUUUCCUCAGAUUCCAAUCUCUUUCUUUCAGAUUCUCGAGCAGAAGAUAUAGAGAGUUGUAGGAAGAUGAAGAUCUAGAGUAAGGGUUGCUUCGAUCUCCUAAUUUGUCCCUGAGGAAGUCUCUAAAGAAACAGUCUGGUUUUCAGACGUUGCUCCUCCUUCUGUAGUGUUUCUUUGUUGUUGUUGUUGUUGUUUUCUGCGCCAUUGUGGCUGGCCUAGGACCUGCUGUCAGUCCCGUCUCUUCACUUGUCCUCUUGUCCCCUUUUAGAUGUUAAAAUGUAGCAUUGCACAUGUCCUGUUUGUUUCCUCUGCGCCGCAGUGCAUGAUGGGAGCCUGUGCAGAACACCCGUCCUGUCAGAGGAGAGUUUUAAUGUUGCAUUAUUUAGAUGUUAUUUCUGUAUCUAAAUGCUUUUAGUGACAUGAGGGCCAUCAGAAAGAUGUUUUUGAUCAACUUUCAGUAGAAGUUUGUAAAAUUAUUUCUGAGUUCUCAUUGUUCAUUUAGGUGAUGUCACACUGCUAUGAGAGACACUGUAAAAUAUGAUUUUUGCUGUGUUAAAGGCAAAAUGAUUUGGACUUGAUGCUUUAGGCUGUUUUUGGCGAAUUGGAUGUUUCGGGUUGCAGCAAAUAGGGAUCUCUGCAGCUUUUCCUAGAAAAGCUAAAUCAUUAUUUGACCUCAGAUUUUCAGAAGGCUGCCAAGUAUUUUCCAAAUCCAUCGUGUUUAAUGACAGCCAGAGGCUCACAGCUCAAAAUCGUACAAUAGAGAAACGGCUAGAAUUAGGGGUGAACCAAUAAAUCAGCCCAGGUUUCCUUUGUCUGCAAUUGUGAAGCCGAUCUUAUUUCCCCGCUGGUGUGUGUUGUGAUCAACACACACCAGCGAGAAGCAUUUGGAAUAAAAAUAGUUUCCUUUUUUUGUUAAAUGCCCUUUUACAUGUUCUGUGCUUGAAAACAGGUAAAGUUGUGGUAUCCAAAGUUGAACAUGGAUACCGCUCCUGUCUGUCAGUGGAGCUGAAAAUCGGCAGCAGCACUGAUUUCUUGGUGCGUCUUUAGAAAAUACGGGGGGAAAAAAAACAAUUGGAGAAAAUAGUUGAAGGGAGGAAAAAUUGUAUUUCUCAGCAUCUCUUCACAUAAGUAGAUAAAAUCAUCUCGGAUUAAAUCAACUAAUAUUUCAGUAAAGCAGUCCCACUCAUUAAUGGACAGGUUAGAUUAUUAAUAUAUGGAUUGGUCCUGAUAUUGAAAAAACUUGUAGAUCGGGAAUCGGUGACGAUGUUCCCGAUCCAUAAGGGCAGAUCUAUUCAGUAUAGUUCUACACUGAGCAACGUCGUGCAUUGUUUAUUUUUACUUUAGAAUUCCUAAUUUCACUUUUUAAACUAUUUGAAAAGUUUCCUUAUGUAUUUUCCAUUGGCUGUUCUCCUAAUUACACUGAAAACAAAUGAAAGUGUUUUUUCCAUGUUUGACCAGCUAUGUUGGUGUAUUUCAGUGAGCUGUUCUGGUGCAGAGUUGGGAAGUAAAUUUGUAAUUCAGUGCAUUUAUGUCUGUAUUUAAAAAAACAACAAAAUAAUUGUUUUAGAUCAGUUCAGCUGAUACUAAACCUUAGAUUUUUGUAUCAGUAGUGAAAAAGUGGAUCAGUGCAUCCCUAGUUCUAGUUUUAACUUUUUUUUUUUAACACACAUGCACACACGUAUAUAUGUGAGUAUGUUUCAAUCUUGCAGUCAGGCAGUCUGCAGCAGUUACUUUUUAAUUCUGCAGCUUACAGCUGCUGGUAUUUAACAUCACGGGGAUGUUUUUGUGGAAAGUCUGGCAUAUUAUUCUCAAGUUGUUUGAUCAGAAACUGAGCUCAUUUUAAUCGUCCCUUUUAAUACACACCACUUGGACCCCGUGAUGAAGCCCAGGAUGUCUUCCUCACCUCCUGGUGGACUGGAUGUUGGGUCAUUAGCGUUCUGCAGUCACAGGAACACGUCGACUGGUCUGUGAACUUCACAUCUCGCUGACUGCAAACCCGGAUGCUUCAUCUGCUCACUGACGUUUCUAACUUGGCGAAUGAAAACCGAUUGUCUUUCCAAAUUAUCCUGAUAACAUUUAGCAAUUGGGACACGAGAUCUUCAGUCUUAACCUCUUCAGGCGUCGACUCGGACUUUUCUGAGAACUUUUUCGCAGCUUCUCCGUCUUCCUUUUCUCAUCCCACCUGCUUUGGUUGCUGCUGUUUUGGGUUGAAACGCCGCCGCCGUGUUUUUCUGUUUUCUGUCGUUGCUUCCAGAUGAACAGCCCUCACCGUUUUGGUUUCUUUCAUCACUACUUCUUCUUCUUCACUGACAUUAAUGGAAGCCAGCUCUUCCAUCUUUCUUUGUGUUUCUAAUUUAUUUUUGUUGUUGGUGGUGGCUCACACCGUCGCUCACGUAUUCCGUCACACACUAUUUAUUUAUUUAUUUCCAUUCACUGAAAUUGAUCAGAAAUGAUUUCUGUUGUGCACAAUCCACAAUCUGUUGUGUUGUUUUCUUCUCCCCUGACUCGCCCACGCCUCCCUGUGUGAAUCAUCUCAUGGCGCCUCAGAGUCUCAACCGAGUUUGAGAGAAACGGGAGACUUGAGGGCUCAAGUCGCCAUGUACCUGGGGAUCAGAAAGGGGAAAUUAAAGACAGUAAGCCCCGCUCCCUCAGAUUCACUUGGAAUAUGAG